CCCUUAGAUGUUCUGGGCUGCACGCGUGCUACACUGAUUAUUUCAACAAGUGUUUUAACUGGAGAGUUUGCGUAAUCCUGAAAUGUUAUCGUGAUGGGAGUAGAGUAUUGUAUUUGUUAAUCUUUAACGAGGAAUUCCUAGUAAGUGUAGGUUUAUAAGUUGUUCUGAUUACGUCCCUGCCCUUUGUACACACCGCCCGUCGCUACUACCGAUUGAAUGGUUUAGUGAGAUCCUUGGAUCGGCCCUGUCGCGGCUGGCAACGGCCGCGUCGGCGCGUCGAGAAGACGAUCAAACUUGAUCAUUUAGAGGAAGUAAAAGUCGUAACA
This 326-nucleotide ribosomal RNA is filed under the name uncultured eukaryote. RNAcentral describes it as "partial 18S ribosomal RNA". It matches the Rfam family "Eukaryotic small subunit ribosomal RNA", at positions 1470 to 1796 of the family's 1831-position model. The record is from RNAcentral.